This 355-nucleotide ribosomal RNA is filed under the name uncultured bacterium. RNAcentral describes it as "bacterial SSU rRNA". It matches the Rfam family "Bacterial small subunit ribosomal RNA", at positions 172 to 507 of the family's 1533-position model. The record is from RNAcentral.
UAUAAUUAAAUUAAACCGCUAUUGGUUUUUAAGUUUAAAAGAUGGUCUUGCUAUCACUAAGAGAUGGUCCCGCGGUGUAUUAGUUAGUUGGUGAGGUAAUGGCUCACCAAGACAAUGAUACAUAGCCGAGUUGAGAGACUGACCGGCCACAAUGGGACUGAGACACGGCCCAUACUCCGUACGGGAGGCAGCAGUAGGGAAUCUUCCAACAAUGGACGAAAGUCUGAUGGAGCAACGCCGCGUGUGUGAUGAAGGGUUUCGGCUCGUAAAACACUGUUGUAAGAGAAGAAUGACAUUGAGAGUAACUGUUCAAUGUGUGACGGUAUCUUACCAGAAAGGAACGGCUAAAUACGUG